Molecule: long non-coding RNA, 3432 nt
Organism: Bos taurus (domestic cattle)
Lineage: Eukaryota; Metazoa; Chordata; Mammalia; Artiodactyla; Bovidae
Source: Ensembl
CACAAUUCAACAGACAUCUCUUUAUUGUUGUUAAAGUACUUGCUCUAUCUCCUGCCUCUGUUACUAACUUUCACACCAACCGAGAACGCAAGCGUUUACCUGGGCUCCAUCCUUGGACGGCGAACGGGUCGCGCAGGCUUCCGGCCUCCUCCUCCCUGGGGUUUGGUUCCAAGGCUCCCGCAAAAUCUCGAAAUCACCCCGGAUCGGCGCGGCCACCGAGGGAAGCAGCCCGGCUCUGAACAAGCCCAGGCAAGCCCAGGCAGAGCCCGCUUCGCGGUCCUUCCUCCUGCGCGAACCACCCGGCCCCGGGGCGAGAGACGCGUCUCUCUGGCCCCAGAUCCGUGGAGUCGUCUCUCUCCAGAGGACCGGGCGCUGGCCCUCUCCUCCACCUGAGAAGGACAAGGGAGCAGGCAUCGGGUCCCGGCCCCUCCACCGCUGCCGCCUGCGGGGACUGGUGCGUCCUCUGCGACAGCGCGGACAGCGCGGCGCCCCUCGUCUCCUCCCGGGGCGCGCUCCCGGAGCCGACGACCGGACUCCACGGCCAUCGCGACUCUUCCGGGAGCUUCUCGCCGCUCCGCGGCGGGACCGAAGCCCAGGCGGGCCGAGGGUGGCCUGUCCCCGGAGGCACAGAUGCGGACGCGGCGAGGCGCCGGGCAGCCCGUGAGGUGGUGAGGGACACAACUGAAGGACUAGGGUCUUCUUGGCCCCAUGAGACACCUGCAUCUUGCACUGGGAGAAGUUGGUCCUUGGCGGGAAGUGGCUGCUGCCCCAAGCAUGUCAUCACAUGCACACUGCGGGGAGCAAGUGAGGCCAGCUGUGAGCUGACCCCAUUUGACAGAUGACAGUCCCUAGCUCACAGGGAUGAGUCUGCAUGGAGCCCACGUUCCCAGCCUUUUCCAAGGAUUCUAGAAAAGUCCCAGAGAAGGAAAGAGCCGGUCAGAAUGCCCAGAUGCACUGGAUAGCUACCUUUCCCCACAUGGGCAGUGGGGCAGAGGACCAUUUCCCACCCACCCUCCCCCCAGGGUGGCCAUCACUGUACGGUAGCUUGAGUGGGGAAGGUCUUUGCAGAUCCUCAAAGAUUCAGGAGGAUUUAAUGAGGCCAAGGCUUCCCUUGUGGCUCAAACAGUAAAGAGUCUGUCUGCCAUGCAGCAGACCCGUGUUUGAUCCCUGGGUCGGAAAGAUCCCCUGGAGAAGGGAAUGGCAACCCACUCCAGUAUCCUUGCCUGGAGAAUCCCAUGGACAGAGGAGCAUGGUGGGCUAUACGAUCCAUGGGGUCACAAAGACUGAGCAAGUAACACUUUCUUUUCAAUGAGGUCAGUGGCUCUGGAGGUGGCACAGGCGACAGAAGGGAAAAGCUGGUUCUAAUUCUGAUUCUGUGUGUGACCUCGGGGAAUAAUAAUAAUAAAGCUAACUCACACUGAGUGCUCAGUGUGCCAGAAAGAAAGUAAGUGAAGUCGCUUAGUCUUGUCUGACUCUUUGUGACCCCAUGGACUGUAGCCUUCCAGGCUCCUCCGUCUAUGGGAUUUUCCAGACAAGAAAAUCCCAUAGAUGGAUUGUCAUUUCCUUCUCCAGGGGAUGGCUUCCCUGGUGGCUCUGUCUGCCUGCAGUGCGGGAGACACUGUGUGCCAGGCAUCAACCUAAAUCCACCCUAGAUAAUAAUCUCUUUCAAUUCUCUACACAGUCCUGUGAGAUACAUACCAGUACUACCCCAUUUCCAGGUGAGAAAGCUGAGGACCAGAAAGGUAAAACUUGGCCACCAUCACGAGGGGGAGAAUGAAGUGGAACCAGGACCCAUAUUCAUUCCUUUCUGACUCCCAAGCCUCACUCCUUAAGCAGCUGCAUCUGGCCUCAAUUUGGCAAAUUGCUUAGCCUCUCCACACCUUGGUGUUCUUGUGUGUACAGACAGCAUCAGGCUCACGGUAUGGACUCAAUAUAUGUUGGUGGAAUGAAUGAACGACCCCCACACCCCUCAAGGUGGUUGUAAAGACUGUAGUAAAUGGAGUUGCUGCACACAGCAGGCACUUCAUCAGCUUACCUAAGGAACCUCUGGAGCCCUGGGUCCAAGGAAGCUAUACUUCCCUGCUCCACACUUAUGGACGUUUGGGAGCAUUUCCAGCUGAGACCUCCACCCUCACUGGUCCUUUCUUCUCCCUUUCCUUUCAGAGCCACCGAAACGCCUUGACCUGGGCGGCUGACAGAUGAAGGAGUACAUUUGGGAGACUCCAGACUCCGUCAACUGUCAGUGAAAUUCAUGCAACUGAUAUGGAUACAGAACCCAUGGAUACAGAGGGGUGACUGUAUACUGGAACCCACCAAACUGUACUUUUAAGUGGUGAAAUUUACAGCGUCACGCUUGAUAAAUGCUAACUCCCCUGACUCAGAAGAUUCCUUGGUGGUCCAGUGGUUAAGACUUUGUGUUCCACUGCAGGGGUUGUGGGUUUGAUACCUGGUUGGGGAACUGUGAUCCCGUAUGCCACAGGAAACCAUAAAAAGAAAUAAAUAAAUUGGGCCAAGAUACAAAAGAAAAUCUAAUCCUGGUGUAGGUAACACAAGAGAGUCGGGCAUCCUGUGGCUGUUCUGCCUGGACACUGGCAGGUACUGACAAGUCCAAAGCAGCCUGUCUUUUAUGCCCUCGAAGACAGGACUGUGGUGACACGGGGUCUGAGACUGGACCCUGCAGAAGAAAGGGGGCUUGGUGGUGGGGAGGACUUGCCUAUUGCAACCCUGCGUCUGUGAAUGACAGAUGUUGCUGCCAUAUUGGUAAACAAGGAUGCUGCAACCUUCAAGCCACCACAUUACCAGCCACACAGACCAUAAGCCCUGAGGGAACUCAGGAUGGAGGCAGGAAGCACCCACUCCCCAGCUAGAAGUCAGCCGCUGCAGCCACCGCCAGGGGGUACCCUGAGGAGACUCAGGAUGAGAAAACACGGUAUUCUGGCCCAGAGAGCAGAGGGUAUACCAAGGAAUGACGUCAGCAAGCCCAGACUUUUGCAACUUUCCCAUGCAUAGACAAGCGCUAAAUUCCUUAACUUGAAAUGUCUGGUGUUCUUUAACAGUAAGGUAGCUCAGUGGUAAAGAAUCCGACUGCCAGUGCAUGAGACAAGGAUUCGAUCCUUGGGUUGGGAAGAUCCCUGGAGGAAGGCAUGGCAACCCACUCCAGUAUUGCCUGGGGAAUUCCAUGGACAGAGGAGCCUGGAAGGCUACAGUCCAUUGGGUCGCAAAAGAGUCGGACAUGACUGAACAACUCAACAACAACAAUAGCAGCAAUAUUUUGAUGUUCUGACUACUUGGUCUUUGUUGCAGAAACUCCUAUGUAUCCUGGCUCCUGGCUUGCCUCUUUGGAGCAGUCCCACAGAGCUAUCUGAGAGGUUAUGUCCUGGGCUUAAGUUCUUUAAAGAUGUCCGCCAAAUAAAACAAAACUCUCAGCUCUGA